GCCGUCCAGCCAGUACGGUGGAUAGGACUCUCAGCUUGUAACCGAGUGGGUUCGGGUUCAAAUCCCGAGUAAGGCA
Molecule: non-coding RNA, 76 nt
Organism: Trichonephila clavipes
Lineage: Eukaryota; Metazoa; Arthropoda; Arachnida; Araneae; Nephilidae
Source: the annotation of a GenBank genome assembly